UACGAGGGGAGCAAGCGUUGUUCGGAUUUACUGGGCGUAAAGGGCGCGUAGGCGGCCACGACAAGUCACUUGUGAAAUCUCCGGGCUUAACUCGGAAAGGUCAAGUGAUACUGUCGGGCUAGAGUACAGAAGGGGCAACUGGAAUUCUCGGUGUAGCGGUGAAAUGCGUAGAUAUCGAGAGGAACACCUGCGGCGAAGGCGGGUUGCUGGGCUGAUACUGACGCUGAUGCGCGAAAGCGUGGGUAGCAAACAGG
RNAcentral lists this ribosomal RNA (254 nucleotides) under uncultured bacterium. RNAcentral describes it as "partial 16S ribosomal RNA". It matches the Rfam family "Bacterial small subunit ribosomal RNA", at positions 524 to 776 of the family's 1533-position model. The record is from RNAcentral.